AUACGGAGGAUCCGAGCGUUAUCCGGAUUUAUUGGGUUUAAAGGGAGCGUAGGUGGAUUGUUAAGUCAGUUGUGAAAGUUUGCGGCUCAACCGUAAAAUUGCAGUUGAAACUGGCAGUCUUGAGUACAGUAGAGGUGGGCGGAAUUCGUGGUGUAGCGGUGAAAUGCUUAGAUAUCACGAAGAACUCCGAUUGCGAAGGCAGCUCACUAGACUGUCACUGACACUGAUGCUCGAAAGUGUGGGUAUCAAACAGGAUUAGAUACCCUGGUAGUCCACACAGUAAACGAUGAAUACUCGCUGUUUGCGAUAUACAGUAAGCGGCCAAGCGAAAGCAUUAAGUAUUCCACCUGGGGAGUACGCCGGCAACGGUGAAACUCAAAGGAAUUGACGGGG
This 393-nucleotide ribosomal RNA is filed under the name uncultured bacterium. Its description in RNAcentral is "partial 16S ribosomal RNA". It matches the Rfam family "Bacterial small subunit ribosomal RNA", at positions 523 to 918 of the family's 1533-position model. The record is from RNAcentral.